ACGUCGGUUCGGUGUAAGUACUUUCAGUCGUGAGGAAGGCGGCGUCGUUAAUAGCGGCGUUGUUUGACGUUAGCGACAGAAGAAGCACCGGCUAACUCCGUGCCAGCAGCCGCGGUAAUACGGAGGGUGCGAGCGUUAAUCGGAAUUACUGGGCGUAAAGCGCAUGCAGGUGGUUUGUUUAAGUCAGAUGUGAAAGACCCGGGGGCUCAACCUCGGAAUUGCAUUUGUAAACUAGGCAGACUAGAGUACUGUAGAGGGGGGUAGGAAUUUCAGGUGUAGCGGUGAAAUAGCGUAGAGAUCUGAAGGAAUACCGGUGGCGAAGGCGGCCCCCUCGGACAGAUACUGACACUCAGAUGCGAAAGCGUGGGGAGCAAACAGGAUUAGAUACCCUGGUAG
This 396-nucleotide ribosomal RNA is filed under the name uncultured bacterium. RNAcentral's name for it is "bacterial SSU rRNA". It matches the Rfam family "Bacterial small subunit ribosomal RNA", at positions 411 to 793 of the family's 1533-position model. The record is from RNAcentral.